AUGGAAAUUAGUAUUUUCUCUGAUCCAUAUUACUUGUUGACUUGGGCAUCGCUCAACGCCAAAUUCUUCAUCUGGCUGGCUCUUUUGGACUGUUGCUGGACUAGCGAGCGUCUGGCCCGACACGGCCUGCCUCAUAGCCCACCUUGCAUCUUCUGUGAUCAAGCCCACGAGUCCAUGCAACACAUCCUCAUUGGGUGCCCUCUCUCGCGCGCGGUCUGGCACGAUGUCUACUCCGCCCUGAGCCUAACUACUACCGGCUCAAUGCCAGUUUGUAACUUGACCCUCUUCUUUAUGUUUGAGUAG
RNAcentral lists this ribosomal RNA (303 nucleotides) under Triticum aestivum (bread wheat). Its description in RNAcentral is "partial small subunit ribosomal RNA". Lineage: Eukaryota; Viridiplantae; Streptophyta; Magnoliopsida; Poales; Poaceae. The record is from RNAcentral.